UCAGGAAAUACUGAAAGCCACAUAUGAGAACUGCAAGGUCUUGUUAAGAUCAGACCUUAUCAAAUCUAGUUCCGAGGAGCGCUCCUUGCUAAAAAACCUAGGCAGUUGGUUGGGAAAGUUCACCAUUGGUAGGAAUCAGGCACUAAGGGCUA
Long non-coding RNA from Zea mays, 152 nucleotides. RefSeq lists it as uncharacterized. NCBI's taxonomy places the organism in Eukaryota, Viridiplantae, Streptophyta, Magnoliopsida, Poales, Poaceae. The transcript has 2 exons. The record is from RefSeq and is a predicted model, not a curated record.